UACGGGGGGAGCAAGCGUUGUCCGGAUUUAUUGGGCGUAAAGAGCUCGUAGGCGGCUUGUUGCGUCGUCCGUGAAAACCUGUGGCUCAACUACAGGCUUGCGGUCGAUACGGGCGGGCUGGAGUUCGGUAGGGGAGACUGGAAUUCCUGGUGUAGCGGUGAAAUGCGCAGAUAUCAGGAGGAACACCGGUGGCGAAGGCGGGUCUCUGGGCCGAUACUGACGCUGAGGAGCGAAAGCGUGGGGAGCGAACAGG
Molecule: ribosomal RNA, 253 nt
Filed under: uncultured bacterium
Lineage: Bacteria
Description: partial 16S ribosomal RNA
Rfam family: Bacterial small subunit ribosomal RNA
Source: RNAcentral